Molecule: ribosomal RNA, 253 nt
Filed under: uncultured bacterium
Lineage: Bacteria
Description: partial 16S ribosomal RNA
Rfam family: Bacterial small subunit ribosomal RNA
Source: RNAcentral
UACGGGGGGGGCUAGCGUUGUUCGGAAUUACUGGGCGUAAAGGGCGCGUAGGCGGCCGAUCAAGUCGGGGGUGAAAGCCUGUGGCUCAACCACAGAAUUGCCUUCGAUACUGUUUGGCUUGAGACCGGAAGAGGUUAGUGGAACUGCGAGUGUAGAGGUGAAAUUCGUAGAUAUUCGCAAGAACACCAGUGGCGAAGGCGGCUGACUGGUCCGGUUCUGACGCUGAGGCGCGAAAGCGUGGGGAGCAAACAGG